RNAcentral lists this long non-coding RNA (2970 nucleotides) under Equus caballus (horse). RNAcentral describes it as "lncRNA (ENSECAG00000045206.1)". The record is from RNAcentral. Lineage: Eukaryota; Metazoa; Chordata; Mammalia; Perissodactyla; Equidae.
ACAAAGUUUCCAUGGAAGAGGGAUCAGAGGCAGGAGCUGCAGGAGCUGUUUCCGUGAGUAUCUGUGCAAGACUGGUCACAAGGAGUGUUGCUGUGGGAUCCAGGCAACGCAGUGCACACCUGAGAAGGCCACUCUGUCCCUCUUUGCUGCAGGCAGCCAAAUAGCUUUGACGCUCUGAGGACCGGGAGCAACCAUAAGGAAGAGUGUCUGUGCCUUGCAGAUCAAAGAAGAGUCUGGAGCAGCCAGCAGAGCAGUAGUCUUGUGAGGAGCCUCUCUCAAAUGCCUGCAGACUGUACUCUUUGGAAGAAAGUCACUGUGCACAGCCCACACACUAAGGAGUGGAGAGUUAUGUUCCUCUCGAGGGCCGAGUGUCUGCAUCAAUUAUUUGGAAUUCUUCUGUAUUGGAGAUUUGUCUAUUCUCUCCCAUUUAUUUAUUAUUCAAUCAUUUAGCUCAGUACGGACUCAUAGGUAUUUAUUUUAUACUUUGAGCUAUAAUUCAAUCCUACUUUACUUAUUCUGUGGCACAAAUUGUUCCAACUUGGCCAUCGGGAGUUCUUCAAGUUGAGUCCUGUGCACCUUUGACAUACGUGCAGCAAUAUGUCUUUGGUUUUUCUUUAAUCACUCUCUUACUUUCUGAUAUUACAAGAUACUCCAGGAUCAUCUUAUAUAUUUCCUGCCCCAGACCUAGAAUCAAUCAUUUUUCUAAGGAGCCCUAUUCCUUUUACUGGAGAAUGGUAUUAGAAAUCACAAUGUGGGCACUAGGUGUUAUGGUUGCUACUGGGAUGCCCAACUGAUUUUUGACAAUCACAUAAAAGCUAGACAGUAGAGGAAGGAUAAUCAUUUCAAUAAAUGGUGCUGUAGCAAUUGGACAUGCAUAGGCAAAAAAAAUUAACUCAAAAUGAAUCAUGGAUAUGACGUAAAAUGUAAAACCAUAAAACUUUUAGGAAAAAAAAAACAGUAGUAAAUCUUCAGGGUCUAGGACUAGGCAAAUAGUUCUUUGACUUAACACCAAAAGCACAAUCCAUAAGAGGAAAAAUAGGACCUCAUCAAAAUUAGAAAAUUCUGCUCUGCAAAAAAAACUCUGUUGAGAGUGAAAAGACAAGUUACUACAGACUGAGAGAAAAUACUUGCAAACCGCAAAGCCAACAAAAGACUAGUAUCUAGAAUAUAUAAAGAAAUCUCAAACUCAACAGUGAAAAAACAAUCUAAUUAGAAAAUGGGCAAAAGGCAUAACAGACAUUUCACCAAAAAGGAUAUAAGGAUGGUAAAUAAGCACAUGAAAAGAUGUUCGAUGUCAUUAGCUACUAAGGAAAUGAAAAUAUAAACCAUAAUGAUAUAUUGCCGCAUAGAUAAGUGAAAACUAUGUUCACAUGAAAACCUGUACACAAAUGUUCCUAGUAGCUUUUUUUCAUAAUAGCCCCAAACUGGAAACAACCUAGAUGUCCUUCAACAGGUGAAUAGUCAAAUAAACUGAGUUACAUCCAUAACAUGGGAUACUACUCAGCAAUAAAAAGGAACAAACUAAUGAUACACACAAAAACUUGGAUGAAUCUCCAGAGAAUUAUACAGAGAUCAGUGGUUGGCAGGAGCUGGGGCUAGGGGCAGGCAGGGAGAGACUAACUACAAAGGAGUAGCACAAGGUGAUAUCGAGGGGUGACAGAAAUAUUCUAUAUCUUGAUCAUGGUAGUGGGGGUUACACAACUGCAAGUGUUUGUCAAAACUCACAGGACCGCACACUUAAAAGAGUAGAGUUUGUUUUAUGUAAAUUGUAAGUCAAUUUUUAAAAACAUGAAAAUGAUAGAAGCUUUUUAAACCAACUUCCACUUAGUUCAAUUACUAAAUUAACCACAUUCUUCAUUCUUUCUGUAAAAUAUACCAACUGGUACACAGGACACUUAACAGCUGAGUACUUCUCUAGUAUAUUGGCAUUUUCUGCUCCCACCAGUUGAGCAUAAUACACAUGGAGAACCAUUGCAUGUGUUCCCAAACCUACAGAUAUUAGUUGUGCUUCUUAUUUAUAAUAACAUAAAUUAAUUAAAUAUGACAUAAGCCCAUGAAAUACGAGCAUAGAAAGGAAGAGUUAUUGUUUCUAUAAAAAUUAGAAUGAAUGCUUUGGGAAGACUAGCUAAUGGCAACUUCCUAAAAAUGAGUUCUUAAACUAAAAGUGGAGAAGACCCUUAAUAAAAGAUUAUAGGGAAAUGUAAAAAUCUAAAAUCAAUCCUCAUCUACAUUGCUUUGCAAGUAGCUUAAAGUUUUUGCUCCAUUUUAACAUAAUCCAAACUAGAAACGACAGAGCAUACAAUAUGAGAGUGGUUUAUGCAAUGAAGAUGUCUUCGAACUCCAAUUAACAGACUCAGACUCAAAGAAAGGAUAUAGCAAAUUAAUGUACAUUUCUAUGUUCUAAACUAAACAUUUAUGAGUUCUAAACAUUCAACCUAAAAUGUUAAACUAUGUAUGAAGUAUUAUUUGUGAUUCCUCACUUGAGCUGAAUUUUUCUCCUGGCCAACUUUACACAAAUAAAAGUGACGAAGUGACUCAGAUCUAAGAUUUAACACUUUCUGUUACAGUGUUCAGUUCAAGAACAAGUUAUUUUUUAAUCAUCUUGGCAAUUUGGAUGUAUUCUGUUUGACAGAUGGAGUACUUGAAAUGUUGAAUUUAGACGUAACUUUAAUUUGAAAUGUUUAAAAGAAUUUACUUGAUAGUACAUUUGGGAUUUAAUUUGAGAUGUGUAAAAGUUGAAUUGAUUGUAAACUGUGUUCAAAUUUUUCAGAGAAUCUGAGGUACUAAAUCUAUAACUUUUAGGUUAUUAGGUUUGUAAAGAGAGUUUAAGCGCUUAGAAAUAUUGGUUGAUUAGAUUUGUAAGCUUGCUUGUUGAAUGUUUGAAGUGCUUUAAAGAAUCAAAUACAUUAGAUUUGUAGUCAUAGUUUGAAAUAUCUCAGAAUUAAAUCAAGUUAAUAAUAAAUGUUUAUG